This 156-nucleotide small nuclear RNA is filed under the name Pogona vitticeps (central bearded dragon). Its description in RNAcentral is "U1 spliceosomal RNA (ENSPVIG00000000292.1)". It matches the Rfam family "U1 spliceosomal RNA". From Rfam's summary of the family: U1 is a small nuclear RNA (snRNA) component of the spliceosome (involved in pre-mRNA splicing). Its 5' end forms complementary base pairs with the 5' splice junction, thus defining the 5' donor site of an intron. Lineage: Eukaryota; Metazoa; Chordata; Lepidosauria; Squamata; Agamidae. The record is from RNAcentral.
AUUUAUACCUUAUAAGAGAAAUACCGUGUUGUAAAAAUGGUUUUCUCAGAGAGAGGCUCAUCCAUUGCACUUUGGGUGUGCUGUUGACCCCUGCAAUUUCCGCAAAUGUGGGAAAGUCAACUACAUAAUGGAGAUAUUAUGUUUGUGAUUUCUCUU